GACGAACGCUGGCGGCGUGCUUAACACAUGCAAGUCGAACGGAAAGGCCCUGCUUUUGUGGGGUGCUCGAGUGGCGAACGGGUGAGUAACACGUGAGUAACCUGCCCUUGACUUUGGGAUAACUUCAGGAAACUGGGGCUAAUACCGGAUAGGAGCUCCUGCUGCACGGUGGUGGUUGGAAAGUUUCGGCGGUUUGGGAUGGACUCGCGGCUUAUCCGCUUGUUGGUGAGGUAGUGGCUUACCAAGGCUUUGACGGGUAGCCGGCCUGAGAGGGGUACCGGCCACAUUGGGACUGAGAGACGGCCCAGACUCCUACGUGAGGCAGCAGGGGAGAAUAUGGCACAAUGGGCGGAAGCCUGAUGCAGCAACGCCGCGUGCGGGAUGACGGCCUUCGAGUUGUAAACCGCUUUCGCCUGUGACGAACCGUGAGUGACGGUAAUGGGUAAAGAAGCACCGGCUAACUACGUG
RNAcentral lists this ribosomal RNA (468 nucleotides) under uncultured bacterium. RNAcentral describes it as "partial 16S ribosomal RNA". It matches the Rfam family "Bacterial small subunit ribosomal RNA", at positions 28 to 507 of the family's 1533-position model. The record is from RNAcentral.